Long non-coding RNA from Vigna angularis (adzuki bean), 604 nucleotides. RefSeq lists it as uncharacterized. NCBI's taxonomy places the organism in Eukaryota, Viridiplantae, Streptophyta, Magnoliopsida, Fabales, Fabaceae. The record is from RefSeq and is a predicted model, not a curated record. The transcript is spliced from 2 exons.
CGAAACCCUUCUCUGUUUCUCUCUUCCACUUCCUUCCCCUUAAUCUAGUAGCUAUCUCCAUUCUUUGGUUGUUAUAUUCUUUCGUUGAAUUGGAGGCUACUCGAUUCCGGCCUCGAUACCACCUCCAAAUCUGUACUCGAAACAGAAUACAGAUGGAAGUUUCAUCGCACUCACUUUGUCAGGGUAUAGGAGGAUGAUUCAGAAAUCGUAUUGGUAGAUGGUUGUGUGACUUUUCUAGAUCUCUGCACGGACGUUGCGCCCUGAAACACGAUCUUUGUAUGGGAUAGGAUCUUGGUUAUAAAAAGAUAAUUUCUGAGAGCGACUUUAUGGAAAUGAUUAAUAUUUUUUAUAUUGCUGAUGUGAGCGUACAUGCCAAUGUGACCUUAAUUUUGGAGACAAAGGGGUUGUUGAGUUGACAUUGGCAAAUGUUGCUGGAAUUUAUCAUAGAGAAGUAAACGUGGCUAGAUUUACUGGCAAAAAGGGCACCCCGAAACAGAAUUACGUUCAAAACCUGGCUUAAACCACCAGAUGAUCUUUUCUCUGCUCUAGGACACAGUUUUGGCUUAGCUUCUGUUAGUUUUCUUUUAUUUUCUUAUGUACAAAA